GGGAGGUUAGCUCAGGGGUAGAGCGUCUGCUUUACACGCAGCAGGUCAUCGGUUCGAUCCCGAUACCUCCCACCA
Molecule: transfer RNA, 75 nt
Filed under: Acidobacteriota bacterium
Lineage: Bacteria; Pseudomonadati; Acidobacteriota
Description: tRNA-Val
Rfam family: tRNA
About the family: Transfer RNA (tRNA) molecules are approximately 80 nucleotides in length. Their secondary structure includes four short double-helical elements and three loops (D, anti-codon, and T loops). Further hydrogen bonds mediate the characteristic L-shaped molecular structure. tRNAs have two regions of fundamental functional importance: the anti-codon, which is responsible for specific mRNA codon recognition, and the 3' end, to which the tRNAs corresponding amino acid is attached (by aminoacyl-tRNA synthetases). tRNAs cope with the degeneracy of the genetic code in two manners: having more than one tRNA (with a specific anti-codon) for a particular amino acid; and 'wobble' base-pairing, i.e. permitting non-standard base-pairing at the 3rd anti-codon position.
Source: RNAcentral